This 363-nucleotide long non-coding RNA is filed under the name Pogona vitticeps (central bearded dragon). RNAcentral's name for it is "lncRNA (ENSPVIG00000008683.1)". The record is from RNAcentral. Lineage: Eukaryota; Metazoa; Chordata; Lepidosauria; Squamata; Agamidae.
GCCAGAUUUCAUUGUUCACUACUACAUAACCCAUCUUCAGUACAAGAUCUAAACUACAUAAACCCAUAUCAUUACAGGAGGAACAUAGAGCUACGAAGGCGAAGGAAGAGCCCCUCCCCUUGGACGCCCUUUCAACGGGAGCCGGAAGAAGCGGGGAUCCUGCAGCGCCUGCCUCUUCCCCUUCGGCCCAAGAAAGGCGCCUGGAGGAGAGAAGCGGGGCUUUUGGGCCGCCUCCUGGAUCGGGACCUGGACGGAGGAAGGGGUGAGACUCAGCUGAUUGCUCUUUGCUGUUUUUGGACCCAAAAACCAAUAACCAAAUCCCAGAUCCCUCCAACAUUUGCAAGACUGGUCCUAACUACCUAA